RNAcentral lists this ribosomal RNA (411 nucleotides) under Stenobracon sp. RNAcentral's name for it is "partial 16S ribosomal RNA". Lineage: Eukaryota; Metazoa; Arthropoda; Insecta; Hymenoptera; Braconidae. The record is from RNAcentral.
GUCUUAAAGAUAAAUUAAUUUUAAGUCUAAUCUGCCCAAUGAAUAAUUUAAAUGGCUGCAGUUCAAUCUGUACUAAGGUAGCAUAAUAAUUUGUUUUUUAAUUUAAAACUCGAAUGAAAGAUUUAAUGAAAUAUAAACUGUUUCAAUUAAAUUAAUAUUAAAUUUUUUAUUUAAGUAAAAAAACUUAAAUAAAAUUUAAAGACGACAAGACCCUAUAGAAUUUUAUUUAUUUUUUAUUUAUAAAUAAAAAAUAAAUUUUAUUGGGGAAAUAAAAAAAUUUAAAAAAUUUUUUUUAAAAAAAACAUAUUUAAAUGAUCAAAUUAUAUCUUUAUAUAUAAAUUAAAAAAAUUAAUUACCUCAGGGAUAACAGCAUAAUUUUUUUUAAAAGAUCGUAUUAAUAAAAAAGAUUAU